Ziziphus jujuba (common jujube) is the source of this 615-nucleotide RNA transcript. RefSeq lists it as uncharacterized. NCBI's taxonomy places the organism in Eukaryota, Viridiplantae, Streptophyta, Magnoliopsida, Rosales, Rhamnaceae. The transcript is spliced from 2 exons. The record is from RefSeq and is a predicted model, not a curated record.
CUUGGAUCACUUUUGUCCUCCUCUCUCGAAGAAGCUCUCGUCCUCCCACUCGAAUGUGUCUCUUGCCGAACCCUUCACCGCCUCUCUACGAUUUCUCAACAGACCGUUCUCCGCCUCUCUCUGAUUUCAAACCCUCGGCAGAUAACAACGUUUCUAGCAGUCUAUAUCUCCACUGAUACACAAAACGAUGAGGAUUAUUGCACUGCCGGUUCAAAGGCUGAAGAGAAGAAGGUAGAGGAGACAGCUUUUGAAGUGAAGUUGGAGAAGUUUGAAAAUGCUGCAAAAAUCAAGGUGAUUAAAGAAGUAAGGGCCUUUACCAAUCUAGGAUUGAAGGAAGCUAAAGUGCUGGUUGAGAAGGCACCUGUUUUGUUUAAACAAGAAGUUACCAAAGAAGAACCAAAUGACAUGAUAGAGAAGAUAAAGGCUGCUGGGUGAUUUGUAAUUAUGGAGUAAAAAUUUUCUGCAAUGGUUUUAUAUCCUUGGUUUUGUGUAGCUGGUUUUAUGGUAUCAGGAAAAUCUCAAAUUUCAAAUUAUGAAAAUUUUGUAAUGUGGCUGGUUGGUGGGCGUUCAUUUAUCUUGAUGAAAAUAUAGAAGGAAUAAAUUAUAUUUUGAGCU